RNAcentral lists this ribosomal RNA (891 nucleotides) under Cantharellus ferruginascens. Its description in RNAcentral is "partial large subunit ribosomal RNA". It matches the Rfam family "Eukaryotic large subunit ribosomal RNA", at positions 1 to 910 of the family's 3401-position model. Lineage: Eukaryota; Fungi; Basidiomycota; Agaricomycetes; Cantharellales; Hydnaceae. The record is from RNAcentral.
GGUUACCUCAGGUCAGAGAAGACUACCCGCUGGACUUAAGCAUAUCACUAAGCGGAGGAAAAGAAACUAACUAGGAUUCCCCCAGUAACUGCGAGUGAAGAGGGAAGAGCUCAUCAUUGGAAUCUGGCGGUGUUGCACCGUCCGAGUUGUAGAUGAGGAGUGGUUCGUCUGGACUGCAUGGCGUCCAAGUACAAUAGGCCGUCARUGGGACAUCAUAGAGGGUGACAAUCCCGUCCUUGAUGCCAAUGUGCAAGUCCAUUACGAUGGCCAUCUCAGAGAGUCGAGCAGUUUGGGAUUUGCUGCUUAAACAUGGGAGGUAGAUUCCUUCUAAAGCUAAAUACAGGCAAGAGACCGAUAGAGAACAAGUACCGCAAGGGAAAGAUGAAAUAGCACUCUGUGAAGGGAGUCAAAAGGCGUGAAAUUGUUGCGAGAGAAGCKAUUCAAGUCAGCGUAGCUAGGCCCAUUAAGCCUCUUUGCGCUUUGGACUAGCUUUGCCAGCGGUCUUGUCCUUAGAGACUUGACUUGUAUGUCCAGCCUGGUAUGCACAGGUAGCCCUCCGGGGUCAGUGACAUGGCUGGUGGAAUGGCUUGCAAUCGACCCGUCUUGAAACACGGACCAAGGMGUCUAACAUGUAUGCGAGUAUAAGGGUGGCAAACCCGUAUGCGCAAUGAAAGUGAUUUUCGGUGAUUGAGAAUGGCCUGAUGACCAGACAAGCAAUAUAUGUCCCUCGUACGGCCAUUGCCCAAGUUCCGUGGUAGAUCCCACGAACAUGGAGUUGGAGCAUACAUGCUAGGACCCGAAAGAUGGUGAACUAUGCCUGGACAAAGCGAAGCCAAAGGAAACUCUKGUGGAGGCUUGUAGCGAUUCUGAYGUGCAAAUCGAUCGUCUGAU